GCAAAAUCAGUGAAAACUUUGCGCUCAAAUGAAACAGUUGUUAUUUGUUUUGAAGUUACAACGAGCAUAAUUUUAAUUUCAGGCAUUCAUACAUAUGUAUAUGCAUACAGAUGUAUGACUGGGUUGAAAUGACAUUCAGACGUUCGAAAAUCGUCGAAUUCAUCACUUGAUGAAUGAAAUCUGCUGAUAAGUUGGUAGAGUUUUCUUAACUGUGACAUUAUUAAUAAAUUGAGUAGUGCAAAAACUAUACACAAAACACAAUUAAACUAAAAAACAUAUUUUAGAAAAAAAGUGUCAUUCAAAUUAUUUGUGUAAAUAUAUAUACAUAAGUUAAAGAGUGCUACUCCAAACAACAAAACUGAACAUAUAUCUAAAUAAAAAAAAAUAAAACAAAGCCUUAAUCGAAACACUUGAAUCGUUCAAAGGUUAACAUUUUGUGAUCGACAGCGUAAUGGCGAUAAUAUAAGCAGCUCAUACAAACAGUGCACGAUUGGGUCGAGUAUAAAUGUACAUUUAAGUGCGGAUGUAUGGGUAUAAUACAUGUCCGUCUUAGUAAUCAAGUGAAGCAAUAUAUAUAAAACAUUAAAAAUACUUAAAAGCACUUUUCUUACAUCUUUUUAAUGUUUUAAAACUACUAGUAAAGUUUUCUCUGUUUGCCGGUUUUUAAACAACAGCAACAAAAAUUCAUUAAACACAUAUUUAUAUUAUAAAUUUACUAAAAACAAUAACUUUAGAAGAAAAGCAUUAGAUGUCGAGACAUAUCGUGCAAACAGUGAUCAUUGAAAAUUAUUUUUUCAUUAUUCUUCUUUCUCUAAAUAAACUCUACUUAAAGCGAGCUCCAGCUAGGUAGACAUUUGUUAAAUUGUGUAUAAAACCAAUUUAAGAACUGCAAGUAUGACAAUACUGCUAAACGGUUGCAACAAAAUGUAACUUUAAUAAAAAGUCAACAUAUGUACAUAUGUAUGAUAUACUAUAUACUAACGAAUGUAUAAAAUAAAAACAAUGCUAGUUUCGAUUAAUUCAUUUACAUAUGAAUUAGUGACCGCAUAUUAUAUUAAACAAAUGUAACAAUAUAAAAUUUGAAAGCCUAAUGUUUAUUAUAAAUAUACUAAUAUACCUGGUUUAUCUAUUGAAAAAAGUUUUAACUGACUGAAAACACAGACAGCUAUCCUGCGGUAACUUUCCUUGUAUAAUCAAGAAAAAUGUGCAUUUAUUACAAGUUUGGACUGUUUCUGAUAUUUCUGCUCAACAUAAGUACCAUCUUUACAAAAGCUGCUCCUUCAAACGUAAAUCUUACAUCUUCUUAUGACAAAAGCUACUCAGAGAAUUAUGAGGAUUAUUAUGACGAGAAUGAACCGGUUAUGCAAACGAAUUAUAGUGAAGACAUGACUAUGACUACUACUAGAACUGCAUUGAUUAUCUCAACAACAAGUAGGAUCUCGUUAAACAAUUAUACAAAUAACAAUCAGAUAUUGAAGCCCAAAUGUCCCAAUUUUUGCCACUGCUUGGAGAACUUUAAGCGCAUACUGUGCAGUGGCGUGGGGUUGACCGGCGUUCCCAAGAAUCUUCCAACUACAACACUAAUUAUCGAUUUAAGCCAUAAUUAUAUUGCAGAACUACAUGUUGAAGAUUUCGUCAAUAUAUCUAAAGUUCGUGAAAUCAAUUUAAGUGCGAUUACUGUAAUAACAUAUAAUUUUCAGAUAUUUGACAACUUAAUUAAUUUACAACGACUUCGGCUGACGGAUAAUAAAUUAAAAUAUAUUGAGCCAACCACUUUCUCAGGCACAAGUAAUUUAAUUGAUCUGGAUAUCAGUAACAAUUCUUUAUUGUUAAAAAACGAUGGCCCUUUCCUAAUACAACCUGGCUUAAUUAAAUUUGCUUGUCGUAAUUGCAGUUGGACCCAUUUGUAUGAUGAUACGUUCACGGGACUGACCAGUUUACAGUCUUUACAACUGGAUUUAAAUAACUUUGAUAAGAAAAUCAAUGUUGAAGCUUUUUCACCGCUGCAGAAUGUUAUUAAAUUGUGGUUGCCUGAUUUGGAACCAGAGAGUCUGAUAAAACUGUGUAAUUUACUAACAGCUAUUGACAAUAUAAAUUUCGGACACCUUGCUAUCAGUUGCUUUGAGUUAGUACUAGGUACGUCAUUUAAUGAUAGUAUUAUUCUGACAACGGAUCCACCAAUCAUUCAGACUCAAAUAACAUCAGCAUCUAAUAAAGUAUCAGAUAUAGUCACUUCUGGUAAUUCGGCGAAAAAAGAGGAAACACAAGAAAUCAGUACUAAAAGUAAAUCUGCGAACGCGAAUACUACCAUAACAACACCGAAAACAGGGACAUUAAAACCAAAGGUGAUAAAAAUAGAAGAAAAUAAGAUGGAGGAUAUCCGUGCCUCUUCAAAUUUCACAAAUCCUACGACUGCGAGUAGAAUCGAAGAUGAUAUUAAUUACAAGAAAGUGUCUGCAAUACUGACAGGAAACGUCUCCACCAGCUUAGGUGAAGUAGCAAAUAAUAAUGCUGAGCACAUCAAAAUUAAAACUACAGUUAAAGCAAAUAAUAGCCUCACACAACAUAUUUCGCAGGAUACGGUUAAUAUUCUGCUGAUAUGUAUUAUUAUUAUAGCAAUUGUUGGAAUUAUAAUUGGUAUAAUUUGCCGCAAGGAUAUUGGUGGAAUCAAAACAAAAUGUUGUCGCACAAAGAAACCCGUUCCGAAAGAUCAAAUACAUCCUACUGAAGAAAUUCCUCUGAAUAAACUUACAUAAAUACAGGAUCUAAUCAGAAAUAAAUAGUUCAUAAUUUAUCUUUAAGAUAAAAUAGCAGUGUAAUUAGUUUAACAUUGAAUAGUUAUAUACUUCAAAUGCAUUAAGUAUAAAAUAAUACUAAUGUUAACAUAUUUGAAGUGCUCGUUACCGAGAUUAUGUUUAAUAAGGAUAUACGUCUUUACAAGAAAUAUAUAAAGGGCAAUACGAAUCAGACAUCUUGUGGAUAGAAUUACAGAGGCGAGAACAGAAAAUACGCGGUGACGCCGAAUUAUUCUUAAGCAUAAUCUUGUCAUGUUCACACGUGUAUCAUUUUGUUUAGUUUCAUUUUUAAUAAAUCUAUAUGUACAACGACUUCGGUCGCCAUAUAUAUUAUUAUUUACACAAUUUCUCAAUAUACAUUACAAUCUUACCUCCAUAACCAAGUUGACGCAGUCUUGUGAUUCUUUACAAUCCAACAACGCAACGACAUUCUCAUGAUGCAACUCUGUCAAUUCUUUCAAGAUCUUUAUUUCUUUUCCAAGUAAAUUUUGAGUUUUUAUCAAUCCCUUUUUAGUUAUACAUUUUAUAGCUACAGGAAAGUGUUUCUGAAAAAUAAAAGAAAUUACAAACAAAUAAGUAGUAUAUCAAUAACGGUUAUAUGUAAAACUGAAGUAAUUAAAUAUUGUUACUCAAACCCAAGAGAAAAAGUACAAACCUUGCGAUGACGUCCUUUAUAUACCACGGCAAAAGCACCAUGGCCAAGCAUAUCCUUCGAACUAUACUCAUAAUCUCCGACAAUAUUCAUAUUGUUGCAGCGAAAUGGAAUGUAAUUACUAUAAUCUUAUUUACUCUUUAGUACAUCUGUUUGCAAUCGUUACGGAAACAACUGUUUAGAGCGUAUGUCAAUAAUUGCGAAAAAAAUUAGUAUAUUUGUAUAAUAUUGUUAAUCUGUCAAACGGACGUUUCACUUAUUCAACCCCAAAAUUUGAUGAAAUGUUUUGAUAUCUAUCCUUUAAUAACAAUAUUUCUAUUACAUGUACGUUGGAAAAUCAAUUUUUCAUUAUCUUGUUCUAUUGUUUACUGCUUUUAUAUCAAUAGAGGGUUAUAUUUAGUCACUCACAAUACAGAAAAAGUGAAAUCGAAUUCUGCAAUAUUAGGAUUAAAAAUCAAAGCCUAUAUUCUGAAAUAUGUGUAUUCAGGUAAUGAAUGACAUCAAAUUACUUUAAAAUUCAUUAUUAGUUUAUUUCACUAUUUAACAUAUCUGUAUUUUCAAAGCUUGAACAUUCCUGUUAUAAAGAGGCUAAGCAAUAACACAACCCGAAAAUCACUUAAUUUUACAAGAUUAAUUGUUACACAUUGUUUUUUUCUUUCUAUUUUUCACUUUUUACACCAAGUUUGGGUCAACGAGCAAUAAAAACGACCGUCCAAAAUGAUAAGUGCAAAUUUGUUUCGCAGUUGAAUUACAUCCAAAAUGACUGCGUAUAUAUCAGCCAUGUAUGUGUCAAAAUCCUACUGAAAAGCAGCGAAAGCACGAAUUUGACAUUUUGUUUUCUACGAAUAUGUGUUAAAAGAAAUGUUUAGCUGACAGUUAAAAGAAGGAAACAAAGAAAUAAAAUGUACAUCACAAUAUAUAUAUAUAAGUUGGAUUUGGUUCCAUGGCACUGCGCAAUAUAAAUAAAUUAUAGUUUAAUGUUUUUGAUUUAACAAAAAUCAAUAAUCAUUUUUGACAUAAACUACUUUUGUUCACAUUUCGUAAUAACAAUUCACAAUAGUUAUAGAAUACACAUUGGCCAAGAUUAGUAUAACUUUUCUAUACACUUUAUUAUUACACAUAAGAUACCACAAAAGGAAAAAAAAGAAUUGCAACCCUGCAAUUUAUUUUGCCCAAAAUGUUGUAAAAUGAAAAAUGAAAUUGAAUUCGCCUAUUCCUAAACGAGAGUUUCCAUGUCUGAACACAGUCUAGUGGAAAACAUCACCUUUUAGUAAUAUUCUAUAGUACAUAUUUUAUCAGUAGUUUUGGCGAAUAUAUCAAUUGAGUUCAAAUAAUGGAUAUUGAAGAUGUCGUAUUUGAUGCGGAAAAUAAUGCUACGUCUUUGUCUCUUCAAUUCCAAUUAUUGGCAAUUAAAUUUACUCGUGAAAAAGAUCUAAAAGCGCGACACAAACUUUUGGAAAAGUGUAAACAUCUUUUGAUAAAUUUCAAGCGAGCCGUUCUUAUUAACCGUCGCCGAUAUCAACAAAGGAUGCAACGACGACAGUCAUUAAUGCGUUUUACUUUUAUUCAACACUUAAUGGAACUAGAAACACAUAUUUUUGAACUCUUUCCAAUCCAUCAAUUAAAUGGUGUUCAGAAAACAAAACAAUCCUGAAAUUGAACAAAUUACAUGUAUCAAACGACAUAUAGCCGCCAAUGUUAUGAGGAUAUAAUCGGGUGAGGGAUUAAGGCUGGUUAAAUUUGGACUUCAUAAACUCAUGGAAUACAAAAUGCUUAUAUGCAGAUAAUACUAAAUAUUUAGUUAAAAUAUUUUCGUGAAACCACUUGUAAGCUUAUUAAACUUUUGGCUCAUGGAAUGUAAAAGAGGUGUAAAAAUUGUGAUAGACCAUUAAUUCCCACAGAACUUUACAUUCCAAUAAAGCAUAAACCAGAUUUCUAAUGUAAAGUUAUUUAAUAAUUAUAAUAGCUACGUAGCAUUUAAUAAAGAAUGUUCUAAAAAACGA
This is an RNA transcript of Zeugodacus cucurbitae (melon fly), 5450 nucleotides long. It is a transcript of the gene named Leucine-rich repeat and immunoglobulin-like domain-containing nogo receptor-interacting protein 2, with no coding region annotated. The record is from RefSeq and is a predicted model, not a curated record. The transcript is spliced from 8 exons. NCBI's taxonomy places the organism in Eukaryota, Metazoa, Arthropoda, Insecta, Diptera, Tephritidae.